RNAcentral lists this small RNA (98 nucleotides) under bovine gut metagenome. RNAcentral describes it as "RT-5 RNA". It matches the Rfam family "RT-5 RNA". Rfam says of the family: Clostridium (Firmicutes). Environment (Cow rumen (57)) The record is from RNAcentral.
UGCACCUGCAGAGGGCGCAGCAUAACCCAUGAAAAGGUUUUGCAGGUAGCCGGUUAUGUAUCGCCCGGUAUAGCAAACUUGCUAUUUUAAAGCACUUC